GUGGAAACUGCUGUGCCAGUUUCUUCAGACGAGGCAAGUGGUGGUACGGAAGAAAUGGAAGAAGAGGACCAGCAAGCGAUUGUUUCUGAUGCGGAAACUGUUACGGUUUCCUCGGACGAAGGAGCUGAUGAUGCUGCUCCUCCGUGCCGCGCGAGCAGAGACCUCGCCUCCCCGCUCGCCACCGCCACCUACAACAAGCUACUCACUGAGGUGUCCAAGUACAAGCAGACCACGCCCUAGGUGAUCUUGUCUUCUUGCUUGCUUUUUACCCGUGAGAAUUGAGAUCUCGGGAUGGUGGGUUAUGUGGAUGGAUGGCCCCUGGUUAAGUCUUUUGCUGUGGUGCUCUG
Long non-coding RNA from Triticum aestivum (bread wheat), 347 nucleotides. RefSeq lists it as uncharacterized. The record is from RefSeq and is a predicted model, not a curated record. Lineage: Eukaryota; Viridiplantae; Streptophyta; Magnoliopsida; Poales; Poaceae. The transcript has 3 exons.